UUUCCCCCAGGUAACCAUUCUGUGCAUUUCAGUCUGUCGUUAAUAAUCAUAAGAUAAUACAACAGGAAGAGGAACAUUACAGUAUAUUGUAGUUUUUACCAAUGCAUUUAUCACUGAUUGGUUUAGGCUACAAACACCAACAUAAACCCCCAGAGCAGUGAAGCAGUAUUUUUGAGUCUAAAAGGUUUUGUCAAUAUUUUGAAUGUAGUCUUCUGAUUUACAGAUUGAUAUGGGACCAGACCAGUCCUCUUCAGGAUUGUGAGACCUCCACUCUGAGAGUUAUAAUGAAUUAUCAUCAGGUGGCUAAGGGUGGAGCCAUCCCUAAAGAAAGACAUAAGGAUCUUGAUGAGACCAUGGACCCUGAUAUGAAGAGGUGGGUGUGUCCAAUAGCAUGUGUAACAAUUCUCAUGAUGUCUGUUUCCAUUGCAGUUAUCAGGAUGACAGUUGAUUAUAUAGUAAUUACUGGCAUUAUAAGCAAGGUUUAGUAAUAGAUUACAUUUAAAUUUUGUAGGUUUCAUUUUCAGCUGUAUACAGUCUCCAGUGAUAAAAUGGUGGAACUCAGUUUCCCCCCAUUUAACCGCUUCAGUAUGCCUAAACACUUCAGUAUUUCAUUUCCAUCAAACUAGUACCCUGUGUUCCCCAUAUCACUAUCAGGAAGUUCUCAGAAGCUAAAGCUUAAUUCUACUCUGUUCACAGUGUCCAUGUGCAUAAAACAGACUUUUCUACACCCAGCUGUGAGUCCACUAGAACACUGGAGAGUGACGGAGAACUAAGGGUCCAUAUGGAGAGACCAGAGUCACCAGCCCCCAGUUACCUAUCAAUGAAGUCUCACCAAUCUAUGGAAACACCUAAUUCUUUCAAGGAAGGAGACUUUACUCAAAAAGAGGGCAUCCGACCAGGAGAGGUGGUCUGUGAUGUAUGUGAGGUCAAAGCUGUGAAGUCCUGUCAGACCUGCACUCAGUCCUACUGUGAGACCCACGUUAGGAAGCACUACACACUACCUAAACUACAGAGACACACCCUGGUGGAUGUGACUGGAGACCUGUUCAGAGACACCCUGUAUAGAGGAGAUGCCCUGUAUAGAGGAGACCCCCUGUAUAGAGGAGACCCCCUGUAUAGAGGAGACCCCCUGGAUAGAGGAGAUGCCCUGUAUAGAGGAGACGCCGUGCAUAGAGGAGACCCCCUGUAUAGAGGAGACUCCCUGUAUAGAGGAGAUUCCCUGUAUAGAGGAGACUCCCUGUAUAGAGGAGAAUCCCUGUAUAGAGGAGACCCCCAGUAUAGAGGAGACCCCCUGUAUAGAGGAGACACCCUGUAUAGAGGAGACUCCCUGUAUAAAGAAGACCUGCAGCAGAGACUCUGCCAGGAACACCACAGAGCUCUGGAGGUGUUCUGCCGGACAGACCAGGAGCUGAUCUGCAGUCUGUGUGCAGUAACAGAACACAAAGGACAUGAUGUAGUCUAUGAGGAGAUAAAACAAGCAGGAAGACAGGUACGUUUUGUUCUCUUGAAAUAUGCUGAUCUCGUGUUGUCACA
This 1533-nucleotide long non-coding RNA is filed under the name Oncorhynchus mykiss (rainbow trout). Its description in RNAcentral is "lncRNA (ENSOMYG00000063625.1)". The record is from RNAcentral. Lineage: Eukaryota; Metazoa; Chordata; Actinopteri; Salmoniformes; Salmonidae.